AGAGCGAACGCUGGCGGCAGGCUUAACACAUGCAAGUCGAGCGGGCGUAGCAAUACGUCAGCGGCAGACGGGUGAGUAACGCGUGGGAACAUACCUUUUGGUUCGGAACAACACAGGGAAACUUGUGCUAAUACCGGAUAAGCCCUUACGGGGAAAGAUUUAUCGCCGAAAGAUUGGCCCGCGUCUGAUUAGCUAGUUGGUGAGGUAACGGCUCACCAAGGCGACGAUCAGUAGCUGGUCUGAGAGGAUGAUCAGCCACAUUGGGACUGAGACACGGCCCAAACUCCUACGGGAGGCAGCAGUGGGGAAUAUUGGACAAUGGGCGAAAGCCUGAUCCAGCCAUGCCGCGUGAGUGAUGAAGGCCCUAGGUUGUAAAGCUCUUUGUGCGGGAAGAUAAUGACGGUACCGCGAAGAAUAAGCCCCGGACUAACUUCGUGCCAGCAGCCGC
RNAcentral lists this ribosomal RNA (448 nucleotides) under uncultured bacterium. RNAcentral's name for it is "SSU rRNA". It matches the Rfam family "Bacterial small subunit ribosomal RNA", at positions 26 to 518 of the family's 1533-position model. The record is from RNAcentral.